GUCUCAACCAACGAGAUCCGCGCCGUCGCUAACGCAUUAAGUGCCCCGCGUGGGGAGUACGGUCGCAAGACUAAAACUCAAAGGAAUUGACGGGGACCCGCACAAGCGGUGGAUGAUGUGGAUUAAUUCGAUGCAACGCGAAAAACCUUACCUACCCUUGACAUGUACGGAACCCUGCUGAAAGGUGGGGGUGCUCGAAAGAGAACCGUAACACAGGUGCUGCAUGGCUGUCGUCAGCUCGUGUCGUGAGAUGUUGGGUUAAGUCCCGCAACGAGCGCAACCCUUGUCAUUAGUUGCUACGAAAGGGCACUCUAAUGAGACUGCCGGUGACAAACCGGAGGAAGGUGGGGAUGACGUCAAGUCCUCAUGGCCCUUAUGGGUAGGGCUUCACACGUCAUACAAUGGUACAUACAGAGGGCUGCCAACCCGCGAGGGGGAGCUAAUCCCAGAAAGUGUAUCGUAGUCCGGAUUGUAGUCUGCAACUCGACUACAUGAAGUUGGAAUCGCUAGUAAUCGCGGAUCAGCAUGUCGCGGUGAAUACGUUCCCGGGUCUUGUACACACCGCCCGUCACACCAUGGGAGCGGGUUUCACCAGAAGUGAGUAGCCUAACCGCAAGGAGGGCGCUUACCACGGUGGGAUUCGUGACUGGGGUGAAGUCGUAACAAGGUAACCAAGGG
Molecule: ribosomal RNA, 678 nt
Filed under: uncultured bacterium
Lineage: Bacteria
Description: bacterial SSU rRNA
Rfam family: Bacterial small subunit ribosomal RNA
Source: RNAcentral